AGCUGAGGGGGAAGAAGCUGAAGCUGCCUCCUGGGCCUCUACCAGUUCCUGUGUUUGGUAACUGGUUGCAAGUUGGGGAUGAUCUUAAUCAUAGGAACCUGGUGGACUAUGCCAAGAAGUUCGGUGAAGUGUUUCUCUUACGUAUGGGACAGAGGAACCUGGUGGUUGUGUCUUCCCCUGACUUGGCUAAAGAUGUGUUGCAUACUCAGGGUGUUGAGUUUGGAUCACGCACUCGUAACGUUGUUUUCGAUAUCUUUACAGGUUUCUUACACAACACUUAAUUUUAUGGUUUUUCUAGUGUGUGAUCACUUUUUAGUUAGGUUGCAGAUUUUAAUUUUAUUAAAGACCUGCGUGUACAAAAAUCUUCACCAAUUAAAAUUUUUCACUUAAGCAGUGAGAAAGAACCUUAAUUUUAUGAAUUUAUGUUUUUUGGUUAUCUGUGAUUAACCUAUGAUAUAAUUCAAUGCUCCUUGUGAAUUUUGUAAUAUGUUUGGUACACAGUGAUUCGGGUUAGAACAAUUUAUAAAUGGGAACAGAGAGAUUGAUUUAUAU
RNAcentral lists this long non-coding RNA (552 nucleotides) under Daucus carota (carrot). RNAcentral describes it as "long non-coding RNA (DCAR_LNC003822)". Lineage: Eukaryota; Viridiplantae; Streptophyta; Magnoliopsida; Apiales; Apiaceae. The record is from RNAcentral.